This 294-nucleotide long non-coding RNA is filed under the name Homo sapiens (human). RNAcentral describes it as "LHRI_LNC899.1". The record is from RNAcentral. Lineage: Eukaryota; Metazoa; Chordata; Mammalia; Primates; Hominidae.
GAAAACUAUUGUACUCUUUUGUUUUAGUGGAGAAAUAAUAGAUGUCUGUUCAUGUGUUAAAUGUUAUAGCAAAAAAAAAAAUACACAUAUGGUUAAGUUAAUGAAUAGUUUUUGUUUUAUCAGAAUGGCAACGGACAGAAGUACUUUGCAGAGAUUGACUUCCUAAGCUACUUAAGACAACUUGCACCACUAAGAAAAAAAUGUAGAACCAUUUGGAAAAAUGAAAUUUAGUAGUUCCAAGUUUCAAAGAAAUGUCAACAUUUUAUUCCAUUCAAUAAAGAACAAAACCAAUAG